Molecule: ribosomal RNA, 564 nt
Filed under: Streptomyces sp. 316E03
Lineage: Bacteria; Bacillati; Actinomycetota; Actinomycetes; Kitasatosporales; Streptomycetaceae
Description: bacterial SSU rRNA
Rfam family: Bacterial small subunit ribosomal RNA
Source: RNAcentral
UAGUGGCGAACGGGUGAGUAACACGUGGGCAAUCUGCCCUUCACUCUGGGACAAGCCCUGGAAACGGGGUCUAAUACCGGAUAACACCUGCCCGGGCAUCUGGGUGGGUUAAAAGCUCCGGCGGUGAAGGAUGAGCCCGCGGCCUAUCAGCUUGUUGGUGAGGUAGUGGCUCACCAAGGCGACGACGGGUAGCCGGCCUGAGAGGGCGACCGGCCACACUGGGACUGAGACACGGCCCAGACUCCUACGGGAGGCAGCAGUGGGGAAUAUUGCACAAUGGGCGAAAGCCUGAUGCAGCGACGCCGCGUGAGGGAUGACGGCCUUCGGGUUGUAAACCUCUUUCAGCAGGGAAGAAACGAAAGUGACGGUACCUGCAGAAGAAGCGCCGGCUAACUACGUGCCAGCAGCCGCGGUAAUACGUAGGGCGCAAGCGUUGUCCGGAAUUAUUGGGCGUAAAGAGCUCGUAGGCGGCUUGUCACGUCGGGUGUGAAAGCCCGGGGCUUAACCCCGGGUCUGCAUUCGAUACGGGCUAGCUAGAGUGUGGUAGGGGAGAUCGGAAUUCCU